GAUGAACGCUGGCGGCGUGCCUAAUACAUGCAAGUCGAGCGAACAGAUGAGGGGCUUGCUCCUCUGACGUUAGCGGCGGACGGGUGAGUAACACGUGGAUAACCUACCUAUAAGACUGGGAUAACUACGGGAAACCGGAGCUAAUACCGGAUAAUAUAUUGAACCGCAUGGUUCAAUAGUGAAAGACGGUUUUGCUGUCACUUAUAGAUGGAUCCGCGCCGCAUUAGCUAGUUGGUAAGGUAACGGCUUACCAAGGCAACGAUGCGUAGCCGACCUGAGAGGGUGAUCGGCCACACUGGAACUGAGACACGGUCCAGACUCCUACGGGAGGCAGCAGUAGGGAAUCUUCCGCAAUGGGCGAAAGCCUGACGGAGCAACGCCGCGUGAGUGAUGAAGGUCUUCGGAUCGUAAAACUCUGUUAUUAGGGAAGAACAAAUGUGUAAGUAACUAUGCACGUCUUGACGGUACCUAAUCAGAAAGCCACGGCUAACUACGUG
RNAcentral lists this ribosomal RNA (497 nucleotides) under uncultured bacterium. Its description in RNAcentral is "partial 16S ribosomal RNA". It matches the Rfam family "Bacterial small subunit ribosomal RNA", at positions 28 to 507 of the family's 1533-position model. The record is from RNAcentral.